GAAACAGCCAAUGUUUUCGAUUGAGUAUCCUGGCCGCAUUUCAGUCCAUAGAGCCGAGUCUGCUGUGAUCCCAAUAAGAAAGAAGAAUGGAGAAACUCCUGGAAGUGUCUUUGCUGAUACUAUGGCUUCAACUGCCCAGGGUGAACAGCCAACAGGAACAGCAUCAUCAGGUCCUGAACUUCCAGGAGGGUGAAAAUGCCACAAUGAACUGCAGUUAUAAAACUUCGAUAAGCAACUUACAGUGGUAUAGAAAAGACUCGGGUCAAGGCUUUGUCCAGCUGAUUUUAAUACGUUCAAAUGAAAGAGAGAAAUACAGAGGAAGGCUACGCGUCACCCUGGACAACUCCAACAAAAGCAGUUCUUUGUCCAUCAUUGCUUCCCAGACUGCAGACUCUGCUACUUACAUCUGUGCCACAGGACACAGUGUUAACCAAGCACUUGCAGCCUCUGCACAAACUCUGCCCAAGCUGCCCCUUUGAAGCCCCACAGUGGGUAGCAUUCGUGGUUAAGUCUUCACAGGAAGGAGAGUCUAUAAAGAGUGGGCAAGAUGAAAGACGGACCCUCUCAAAUUCACGAUUUUUUUGGAAGCACCUUGUACCAAGGCGAAGGGCAUGAAGUUUAGAGUGAUAAACUACAAUGCCAGGUUCAAAUCUGCUAAUCCCAGUUCUAUGGCUUUGGGCAGAGCAUCAGCACAGCAGCCUUCCCUUUCCUCAAUGGAAAUGAAGGACUUGGAAUGACAAACCCGAAAAGCCCUCCAAGCUCUAAUUUUAUCAGGGAAGAAGCUAAGCUCUGGACACUUAUAGAGGAUGAGGAAGGAAUUCUCUGUAUUAGAAGGUCUCAUAUGUUCAAUCCUCUGGUGACCCAGAUGGCCCCAUGAGAUGUAUGUGGAACUCUUUCAGCCAAAUUUUCCAAUUUAAAGCUGAGGAAUGGAAACAUUGUACCCAUAGAAACAAAACUGCAAAUCUCAUUCUGCGUUUACUAGUCCUGUGAUUUCCAAGCCUCAAUCUCCCCACGAAUCAAAGGAGAACUUACGAGAUAAAGGCAGAGCAAGUGGUUCUCCCCACUUGGGUGAGAGAUGUGUGUUCCCCACUGCCACUGCCCUGAAAUUUUGUUUUUAAAAAUUGGGCACUUCCAUUAUCAAACACAUAGCAGUUUUCAUUUAUGUCUCUUCCUAAUAGUAAAUAAAUGUUGGCUAUAGUUGUCAA
This is a non-coding RNA of Mustela lutreola (European mink), 1205 nucleotides long. NCBI's taxonomy places the organism in Eukaryota, Metazoa, Chordata, Mammalia, Carnivora, Mustelidae. The record is from the annotation of a RefSeq genome assembly.